Molecule: ribosomal RNA, 318 nt
Filed under: uncultured bacterium
Lineage: Bacteria
Description: bacterial SSU rRNA
Rfam family: Bacterial small subunit ribosomal RNA
Source: RNAcentral
AGUCAAUAGAUACCCUGGUAGUCCACGCCGUAAACGAUGAGUACUAGGUGUAGGAGGUAUCGACUCCUUCUGUGCCGCAGUUAAACACAAUAAGUACUCCGCCUGGGAAGUACGGUCGCAAGAUUAAAAACUCAAAGGAAUUGACGGGGGUCCCGGCACAAGCAGCGGAGCAUGUGGUUUAAUUUACGAAGCAACGCGAAGAACCUUACCUAGACUUGACAUCUCCUGAAUAGUGUAGAGAUACAUGAAGCCCUUCGGGGUCGAGGAAGACAGGUGGUGCAUGGUUGUCGUCAGCUCGUGUCGUGAGAUGUUGGGUUU